Molecule: long non-coding RNA, 1046 nt
Organism: Nematostella vectensis (starlet sea anemone)
Lineage: Eukaryota; Metazoa; Cnidaria; Anthozoa; Actiniaria; Edwardsiidae
Exons: 2
Source: RefSeq, a predicted model, not a curated record
AUUAUGACGUAGAGCCUAGAGUCGGCAGCUCGGCAGCAGCAGCUGCCGAGUAAUAGGCGAAUUCCCCGAGGUGGUAAAAGGCGAAUUCCCCGAAGUGGUAAUAUGCGAAUUCCCCGAGGUGGUAAUAGGCUAAUUCCCCGAAGUGGUAAUAGGCGAAUUCCCCGAGGUGCAUUAUCGACACAUAGUAGCAGCUGCCAAGAAAUGGGUGAAUUCCCCGACGUGGGUGAUCAGCAUAUAGUAGUAGCUGCCUAGUAAUAGGCUAAUUCCCCAAGGUGGGUGAUCGGCAUAUAGUAGCAGCUGCCAAGUAGUUGGCUCAUUCCCGAGGUGGGUGAUCGGCAUAUAGUAGUAGCUGCCUAGUAAUAGGUGAAUUCCCCGAGGUGGGUGAUCGGCAUAUAGUAGUAGCUGCCAAGUAAUAGGCGAAUUCCCUGAGGUUCAUCAUCGGCAUAUAGUUGUAGCUGCCUAGUAAUAGGUGAAUUCUCCGAGGUGGGUGAUCGGCAUAUAGUAGUAGCUGCCAAGUGAUAGACUAAAUACCCGAGGUGGGUGAUCGGCAUAUAGUAGUAGCUGCUAAGUAAUAGGCGAAUUCCCCGAGGUGGGUGAUCGGCAUUUAGUAGUAGCUGCUAAGUAAUAGGCUAAUUCCCCGAGGUGGGCGAUCGGCAUAUAGUAGAAGCUUCCAAGUAAUAGGCGAAUUCCCCGAGGUGGGCGAUCGGCAUAUAGUAGUAGCUGGCAGACUGCAUUACUGGCACACCUAUAGAUGAGGCUGAUUUGUAGGCUUUAAGAACCCUUCUUAUACAAGAAAUCUUGUGCUAUAAGGAAAAGGAAUAAUUACCAUUAAGCAUUGCCGUUAUCGUCUUCCUCCCGAGAAGUAAAAGUUUUAAACCACGCUUUUUUAUGCAGCUCACACAGGGUGAGGUUUCAUAGGGAGGUACAAGAUGCAUAAUUAAAGGGGGCAGCUCACACAGGGUGAGGUUUCGUAGGGAGGUACAAGAUGCAUAAUUAAAGGGUGCAGCUCACACAGGGUGAGGUUUCGUAGGGAGGUACAAGAUGCA